AAUUAAAACUUAUUCUUCGGGUGUAAAUACUUUAAUGGUUUGAAAACACCAAAACAUUUUAAAAAUUAAAAUGCUCUCAACUAGUUGGCUUAAGAAAUUAAAACUGGUUCAAUUAUUAAAAUGACAUACAUCAAAAGUACAUAUACAUUUGUUUUUAAAUCUUAAAACACUCUAUUAGUUUUUGUUUGUGUGUUGUAUAGCCAAUUAUUAAA
Non-coding RNA from Cinara cedri, 212 nucleotides. NCBI's taxonomy places the organism in Eukaryota, Metazoa, Arthropoda, Insecta, Hemiptera, Aphididae. The record is from the annotation of a GenBank genome assembly.